GUGAACGCUGGCGGUAGGCCUAACCCAUGCAAGUCGAACGGCAGCACAGUAAGGGCUUGCUCUUACGGGUGGCGAGUGGCGGACGGGUGAGGAAUACAUCGGAAUCUACUUUUUCGUGGGGGAUAACGUAGGGAAACUUACGCUAAUACCGCAUACGACCUACGGGUGAAAGCAGGGGAUCUUCGGACCUUGCGCGAUUGAAUGAGCCGAUGUCGGAUUAGCUAGUUGGCGGGGUAAAGGCCCACCAAGGCGACGAUCCGUAGCUGGUCUGAGAGGAUGAUCAGCCACACUGGAACUGAGACACGGUCCAGACUCCUACGGGAGGCAGCAGUGGGGAAUAUUGGACAAUGGGCGCAAGCCUGAUCCAGCCAUACCGCGUGGGUGAAGAAGGCCUUCGGGUUGUAAAGCCCUUUUGUUGGGAAAGAAAAGCAGCAGGUUAAUACCCCGCUGUUCUGACGGUACCCAAAGAAUAAGCACCGGCUAACUUCGUG
Molecule: ribosomal RNA, 491 nt
Filed under: uncultured bacterium
Lineage: Bacteria
Description: partial 16S ribosomal RNA
Rfam family: Bacterial small subunit ribosomal RNA
Source: RNAcentral